RNAcentral lists this long non-coding RNA (767 nucleotides) under Bos indicus x Bos taurus (hybrid cattle). Its description in RNAcentral is "lncRNA (ENSBIXG00005013261.1)". Lineage: Eukaryota; Metazoa; Chordata; Mammalia; Artiodactyla; Bovidae. The record is from RNAcentral.
AUGGGAUUUGCUGAAGAAACUGAAGAUGGAGAAGUCAUGGAAGACAGUCAUGACCCAGAAGAGUAUUAUGAAAAGCAGUGCCUCUCCCACUUCCAUCUCCGCUCGAAGGAGCAGCAUAGGAUGGGCACAUCAGGACCCUCAAUGCUGGGAUGUUGCUUAAGAAUGACAAGGGAUGAGAUCAAAGUUGAAGCCACCUACCACAGUCUCUAUGGGUUCCACUCGCCUUUGAAUGUGCCACUCGGCGUCCAAACAGGACACACUAAAAAGGAUUUCACUACAGAGAGGAUACAAAACUCACAGAGUUUCCAACUUCGAAGCACGUAUUCCAAGAAAAUAAUUGAUCGUGUGUACAAAGAUUUAAUUACAAGAAAGAGCCUGCACCAAGGUUUAUAAUAUGGAAAAUUGGGAAACGGCCUAAGUGUCUGGUGAUAGAAUCGUGGUUAAACAAGCUGUGAUACAUUCAUCCAGUAGAAUAUAUACAGUGUCAUUAAAAGUAAGGGGGAUGGAAAUGCCCGGGCACCAUAAGAUGUUCAAGAAAUAGUAACAGAACAAAGUAGGUUACUAGAGAAUCUUUUCAGUGGUCAUCCCAUUUUUAAACUCUUCUCAGUGAUUAUCCCAUUUUUAAAGUCUCUUUGCAUGUGCAUAGAAAGAGUCUGCAUCAAAAGUAGUUACUAACAGAGUUUUGUUUUUUUUUAAUUUCUACCCUUUUGAUCUUGAACUUCAAUUUGUAUAAUAAAUAUAUUUUACAUAAAAUUUUUAUAUAAGUU